GGCCGCGGGAAUUCGAUUCAGGCCUAACACAUGCAAGUCGAGCGGUAGAGAGAAGCUUGCUUCUCUUGAGAGCGGCGGACGGGUGAGUAAUGCCUAGGAAUCUGCCUGGUAGUGGGGGAUAACGUCCGGAAACGGACGCUAAUACCGCAUACGUCCUACGGGAGAAAGCAGGGGACCUUCGGGCCUUGCGCUAUCAGAUGAGCCUAGGUCGGAUUAGCUAGUUGGUGGGGUAAUGGCUCACCAAGGCGACGAUCCGUAACUGGUCUGAGAGGAUGAUCAGUCACACUGGAACUGAGACACGGUCCAGACUCCUACGGGAGGCAGCAGUGGGGAAUAUUGGACAAUGGGCGAAAGCCUGAUCC
Molecule: ribosomal RNA, 362 nt
Filed under: uncultured bacterium
Lineage: Bacteria
Description: bacterial SSU rRNA
Rfam family: Bacterial small subunit ribosomal RNA
Source: RNAcentral